RNAcentral lists this ribosomal RNA (263 nucleotides) under uncultured bacterium. RNAcentral describes it as "partial 16S ribosomal RNA". It matches the Rfam family "Bacterial small subunit ribosomal RNA", at positions 793 to 1055 of the family's 1533-position model. The record is from RNAcentral.
GUCCACGCCCUAAACGAUGGCAACUAGUUGUUGGAGGAUGAACUCCUUUAGUAACGCAGCUAACGCGUGAAGUUGCCCGCCUGGGGAGUACGGUCGCAAGAUUAAAACUCAAAGGAAUUGACGGGGCCCGCACAAGCGGUGGAUGAUGUGGUUCAAUUCGAUGCAACGCGAAAACCUUACCUACCCUUGACAUGCCAGGAAGCCCGAUGAGAGUUGGGUGUGCCCGAAAGGGAACCUGGACACAGGUGCUGCAUGGCUGUCGU